Molecule: ribosomal RNA, 447 nt
Filed under: uncultured bacterium
Lineage: Bacteria
Description: SSU rRNA
Rfam family: Bacterial small subunit ribosomal RNA
Source: RNAcentral
AGAACGAACGCUGGCGGCAGGCCUCAAACAUGCAAGUCUAGGGGGUGUAGCAAUACAUCACCGGCGGACGGGUGCGUAACACGUGGGAAUAUACCUUUUGGCUCGGAACAACGCAGGGAAACUUGCGCUAAUACCGAAUGUGCCCUUACGGGGAAAGAUUUAUCGCCAAAGGAUUAGCCCGCGUAGGAUUAGCUAGUUGGUGAGGUAAUGGCUCACCAAGGCUCCGAUCCUUAGCUGUUCUGAGAGGAAGAUCAGCCACACUGGGACUGAGACACGGCCCAGACUCCUACGGGAGGCAGCAGUUGGGAAUCUUGGACAAUGGGGGAAACCCUGAUCCAGCCAUGCCGCGUGAGUGAUGAAGGCCUUCGGGUUGUAAAACUCUUUCGACGGGGACGAUAAUGACGGUACCCGUAGAAGAGCUCCGGCUAACUUCGUGCCAGCAGCCGC